UGAAUUCACUACUGUAAGUCGCUCUGGAUAAGAGUGUCUGCUAAAUUACUAAAA
Molecule: non-coding RNA, 54 nt
Organism: Salmo salar (Atlantic salmon)
Lineage: Eukaryota; Metazoa; Chordata; Actinopteri; Salmoniformes; Salmonidae
Source: Rfam